This 309-nucleotide ribosomal RNA is filed under the name uncultured bacterium. RNAcentral's name for it is "bacterial SSU rRNA". It matches the Rfam family "Bacterial small subunit ribosomal RNA", at positions 28 to 334 of the family's 1533-position model. The record is from RNAcentral.
GAUGAACGCUAGCGGCAGGCCUAAUACAUGCAAGUCGAACGGUAGCAUGAGAGCUUGCUCUUGAUGACGAGUGGCGCACGGGUGCGUAACGCGUAUGCAACCUACCCUUUACUGGAGGAUAGCCCGAAGAAAUUCGGAUUAAUACUCCAUGGUACUAUAAAGCAGCAUUACUUAAUAGUUAAAGAUUUAUUGGUAAAGGAUGGGCAUGCGUGACAUUAGUUAGUUGGUAAGGUAACGGCUUACCAAGACGAUGAUGUCUAGGGGUUCUGAGAGGAAGGUCCCCCACACUGGUACUGAGACACGGACCAG